GAGAAUGAGUGGGAGAAGGGCAGAGAAAGAGGGAGGGAGGGAGAGAGAGAAUCCCAAGCAGGUUUUGUGCUGUUGGUGUGGAGUCCUACGUGGCACUCGAUCGCACGAACCGUGAGACCAUGACCUGAGCCGAAAUCAAGAGUCGGACGCUGAGCCCACUGAGCCACCUAGGCGUCCCGCCACAUUUCUUUCUUGACUAGUGGAGGGUGUUUUGUUUUUGUUUUGAAGAAUUACAGGUAGAGCCACGAUUUCAUCCUAGUGGAAGGACAUAUCAUCCAUCAGUCCUCAGGCGGCUUGAGUUCCCUGCUCUAGGAAACGGAAACAAGUGAUUCGGAAGUUCAAAGCAGUGAUGUCUGAUACAACUUCCCUCCAUGAGUCCCCAGCCUCCCACGUGAUAGCAAAGAACUGCAAACUAAUGGAUUACCCAAGAAAUGGUGAAUAAUGUCCACUCGAAGACUUUAAUCAUUAACUUCAGAGCAACCUUGGACACGUAUGUCCAGGUUCAGGAGCAAGUGAGGAAGGACGGUAGCCAGAAAGAUGACAUCGUUUCCAGCUGACUGGAAGCUUCAAGAUAGUGGAGGUAGAUAAAAAUAAUAUUUGAGUGUUGGGAAUUUUUUCUCAUGUUUAUGUAAGGGCAGUUUUACUAUCAGCAUGUAGGAAAUUGAAAUAUAAAUAGACAAUAAAAAUUUAUCUAGACCAUGUAAACAUCAUGGGCUUUACAAUUUGGCCUGAAAAUCUCCUAAGAUUUGCUUGCUGGAUUUCCAUGCGAUAACCUUGUUGAACAUUAAACCCCAAAAUGAGGACGGGAGGCCAGUGGCAAGGGAUUCUGAAACCAAACGGCCCUCAACUCCGAAGUCUGUUUGUCAAGAGAAGUUUUAAUUCCCUUUAUGCCAGAGUGUGGGCAAUUUGUUUCCAUAGAUCCAUAAAAAAUCAUAUGUUUUUAUGUGGUUAAAAGUAUUUUAGGGGCACUUGGGUGACUCAGUCGGUUGAGCGCCCGACUUCGGCCCAGGUCAUGAUCUCACGGUCUGUGGGUUCGAGCCCCGCGUCGGGCUCUGUGCUGACAGCUCGGAGCCUGGAGCCUGCUUCCGAUUCUGUGUCUCCCUCUCUCUCUGCCCCUCCCCUGCUCACACUCUGUCUCUGUCUCAAAAAUAAAUAAAAACAUUUUAAUAAAGUAAAAUAAAAUAAAAAAAUAAAAGUAUUUUAAAAAUAGGGGCGCCUCGGUGACUCAGUCGGUCAAGCGUCCGACUCUCGAUCUCAGCACAGGUCAUGAUCUCACGGUUCAUGAAUUCGAGCCCCGUGUCUGGCUCCUCGCUUAACAGUUUCGAGCCUGCUUAGGAUUCUGUUUCUCCCUCUCUCUGCCCCUCCUCUCUCUCUCUCUCUCUCAGAAUAAAUAAACUUUAAAAAAAAUCAUUAUUAUUCAGGGGGAAAAAUAUUCCCAGGGUCAUUACCAACCAAGGACACUGGUUUCAAAGACUGUAUUUGUGAAGGCUGCAUCGCAUAGCAACAAAGGAUUCUAAAUUCUCUCCUGCAAAUCCCUCUAAUUACCUUAGAAACGAUUCUAUGUAAAUAAAUAAAU
Molecule: long non-coding RNA, 1576 nt
Organism: Acinonyx jubatus (cheetah)
Lineage: Eukaryota; Metazoa; Chordata; Mammalia; Carnivora; Felidae
Exons: 3
Source: RefSeq, a predicted model, not a curated record